UGGGUUAGUUAAAGUGAGUAUUUUCCUGG
This 29-nucleotide non-coding RNA is filed under the name Mus musculus (house mouse). Lineage: Eukaryota; Metazoa; Chordata; Mammalia; Rodentia; Muridae. The record is from RNAcentral.